AGGUGACUUAACGCCCGAAGGGGUGCUUCCUCCUACCCUCGUCAGUCAUUCAUCCCCUUCCAGUUUGUGGCUGUGCGGAGCGGCGUUUCGCCAUGGAUGGCCUCGAGUCCUUUGAGGAAGCAGAAUCAGGAUUGGUUCCUAAGGCUGAUGCGGGUGAUUUAUUGGGUGGCGGAAUCGAUGUUGUGGAAUCUGUGGUUGCUUCCAUCCAUGAAGGGCGCGGGCGCUCCUCUGAUGUGAUUUCUUCUGAGCCGAUUGGUGACAGCAGCGACAAAGAGCAGUUCAGAGUGGUGGGCGCGAAUCUCGGCUCAUACAACAACCGUGGGAGCGAGGUCGUUGACGACUCGAACGAUAUGGCGGCUCAGAAAACCUCCUCAACAUCAAUGGGAGAGGAGGGAGAUGCAGAGGGGGUCGUCGUCAACAAAUCAAAGGCCUCCUGUUGGACUUGACGACCAAGCUCGUGCAAUGGAGGUUGCCAUAGAAGAUGUCAUGCCGCAUACAUCACAUCGGUGGUGCAAAUGGCAUGUGCUGAAGAAAGCAAAAGAGCUACUUGGGCCACUACUAGGCAAGGGCAGCGAGCUCAAACAAAAGUUCAACAAGAUGAUGCAUCACAUGGUUAGUGAGAAAGAAUUCGAGGAUGGUUGGGCAUCUAUGGUUGAGAAACAUGGUGUACAAAAUAAUGUAUCUGCGCCUGGUACCCAUAGUUAGCGACCUGCUGCCUUGGGGUGUUC
Triticum dicoccoides is the source of this 728-nucleotide long non-coding RNA. RefSeq lists it as uncharacterized. The transcript is spliced from 3 exons. The record is from RefSeq and is a predicted model, not a curated record. NCBI's taxonomy places the organism in Eukaryota, Viridiplantae, Streptophyta, Magnoliopsida, Poales, Poaceae.